AGCGAACGCUGGCGGCAGGCUUAACUCAUGCAAGUCGAGCGGGCACUUUCGGGUGUCAGCGGCGGACGGGUGAGUAACGCGUGGGAACGUGCCCUCUGGUUCGGAAUAACUCAGGGAAACUUGAGCUAAUACCGGAUACGCCCUUUUGGGGAAAGGCUUGCUGCCGGAGGAUCGGCCCGCGUCUGAUUAGCUAGUUGGUGAGGUAACGGCUCACCAAGGCGACGAUCAGUAGCUGGUCUGAGAGGAUGAUCAGCCACACUGGGACUGAGACACGGCCCAGACUCCUACGGGAGGCAGCAGUGGGGAAUAUUGGACAAUGGGCGCAAGCCUGAUCCAGCCAUGCCGCGUGAGUGAUCAAGGCCUUAGGGUUGUAAAGCUCUUUUAUCCGGGACGAUAAUGACGGUACCGGAGGAAUAAGCCCCGGCUAACUUCGUG
Molecule: ribosomal RNA, 435 nt
Filed under: uncultured bacterium
Lineage: Bacteria
Description: partial 16S ribosomal RNA
Rfam family: Bacterial small subunit ribosomal RNA
Source: RNAcentral